RNAcentral lists this ribosomal RNA (305 nucleotides) under uncultured bacterium. Its description in RNAcentral is "bacterial SSU rRNA". It matches the Rfam family "Bacterial small subunit ribosomal RNA", at positions 334 to 655 of the family's 1533-position model. The record is from RNAcentral.
UAAUCCUACGGGGCGCAGCAGUGGGGAAUAUUGCGCAAUGGGGGAAACCCUGACGCAGCAACGCCGCGUGAGUGAGGAAGUAUCUCGGUAUGUAAAGCUCUAUCAGCGGGGAAGAAGGAAGACGGUACCCGACUAAGAAGCCCCGGCUAACUACGUGCCAGCAGCCGCGGCAAUACGUAGGGGGCGAGCGUUAUCCGGAUUUACUGGGUGUAAAGGGAGCGUAGACGGCGUCGCAAGUCUGAAGUGAAAGCCCGUGGCUCAACCGCGGAACUGCUUUGGAAACUGUGAGGCUGGAGUGCUGGAGG